RNAcentral lists this long non-coding RNA (593 nucleotides) under Macaca mulatta (Rhesus monkey). RNAcentral describes it as "lncRNA (ENSMMUG00000060661.1)". Lineage: Eukaryota; Metazoa; Chordata; Mammalia; Primates; Cercopithecidae. The record is from RNAcentral.
GCCUACAUGGGGUCACCAGAAGGCUCCUCUCAGUGUGGGGACUCACAGAAAAGUGAAUGGAGGCAGUUCAAAUCUCAGUAUAGACUGGUGGGAUAGGAGCAUCUGGAAGUUGAGGGGUGGAGAAAUUUGUCUGGGGACUUCCAGCCUAUGCCACUAGAGCCAUUGCCAAAAUGUGAAUAGUCGCCUCUGACAUCCUGACUGGAUCUCAGGCUAAUCGCUGCCCCACCCCACCUUCUGUCCCUCUCUGCGUUCCUGUGAACUGAGUUCCCCGCAGCAUUUCCGAGGCUGCCACGUGGCUGCCAUCUUUCUCAUGGGGGAUCGUGGUGGUCACAUCAUUGGUCCUUUGCCUCUGGGAGUGUCUGAAACAUUGCAGCAACUUAAUACAUAUUUGUUGAUUGAAAGACUCGGUGACCAUUGAACAAGAGGGGCUGAUGGCAUCUUAAUGGGACUGUCAUCUCACAGCAAAAGAGAGAUGAAGAUUUAUAUACAUGCACACGAUCCACUGUGCAGGAUUGGCGAGAGACAGAAGGCAAGUUUGAGAUCCUGGAGAGAGAACUGCUGUGAGGAUGGUUAAUUCUGGAGGGAGCCUGGUC